CGAUACCAUCUCCAACACCUACUCCUGAAACACCAUAAACUCUGUAUCCUGCAUCCCAAGUGAUUCAACAAGGAAGGAGCCAUGUAAAGAUCUGAACACUGCCUUCCUGGCCCUCUCUGCCCCUAUUCAAGAAUCAUUGCUUCCUCC
This is a long non-coding RNA of Neogale vison (American mink), 147 nucleotides long. RefSeq lists it as uncharacterized. The transcript is spliced from 3 exons. Lineage: Eukaryota; Metazoa; Chordata; Mammalia; Carnivora; Mustelidae. The record is from RefSeq and is a predicted model, not a curated record.